This 67-nucleotide transfer RNA is filed under the name Marmota monax (woodchuck). RNAcentral describes it as "tRNA.Met". The record is from RNAcentral. Lineage: Eukaryota; Metazoa; Chordata; Mammalia; Rodentia; Sciuridae.
GGUUAUAGCUCAGCAGUAGAGCGCUUGCCUCAUACACGUGAGGCACUGGGUUCGAUCCUCAGCACCA